RNAcentral lists this long non-coding RNA (939 nucleotides) under Triticum aestivum (bread wheat). RNAcentral's name for it is "long non-coding RNA (TAES_LNC009833)". Lineage: Eukaryota; Viridiplantae; Streptophyta; Magnoliopsida; Poales; Poaceae. The record is from RNAcentral.
ACUCAUUUUGCUCCGUAUGUAUUCCAUAUUAUAAUCUCUAAAAAAAUUUAUAUUUAGAAAUGGAGGGAGUUUUAGAGUGUAGAUUCACUGAUUUUGCUCCGUAUGUAGUCUGUAUUGGAAUCUCUAAAAAACUUAUAUUUAGGAACGAAGGGACUACUAUAUUUGAUCGUUCUAGAGAAAGUUCACAAAUAAAUUCCACCUAAAUAGUGAUUACUAAUAUCUCUCGCACUAACACUCUCAUCACUCUUACGAAUAGUCUCUCUAAAAAAAUAGGCAUCAACAUAGCCUCCUCAACCAAAUAAAUGUAUGUGUAUUCACAUAUAUAAAUGUUAACAAGUACAGACAAGACAAUGAAUUAUUCAAAGAUUUAUAGGUGUUAUAGGCAGUAGACACAACAAUGAAGUAUUGAACACCUUUUGCUAUACGGAACUUCAUAUAAUUAAUACGGAUGUGUUGAAGAGAUAAUCUGAGUUGAAGCGACGAUCUAAGUUGGGCAGAAUGUCAACUGAAAAAAGUUAAUUCCCCAAAACAACUGAAGGUAAGCAAAAAGGCAGGGGGAUAUGAGUAACUCUGACAUGAAUUGAGGCAGUCUUUGCUCGCUUGAUCCUAGAAAAACUCGCAUAUUGGUCACCUGUCUGCAUUUGUCCUUCCCUGCUUCUGAGUAGUACCUGACCGUAGAACACCCUCUCCCUCUGGCGAGCAUGAAAAUUAUGAGUAAAAAGAAACCAUGCAAAGAUAAAAAAAAGGUAGAGAAAGGUGAGGAGAAAAUAAGCAUCUCCUUAUCUGCACCAGGAAGGGGAUAACAGGAGACCACGAGCCGAUUUCUCAUAAAGAAUCCAAAAUCCACGCAAUUGCUGGAUGCUAGCAGACCAAGCAUCUGGGAAAGGAGGAGAAGGAAGUGAAGAGGAGAGAUUACCUGGAGGAGAGCCACCGCUCNNN